This 498-nucleotide ribosomal RNA is filed under the name uncultured bacterium. RNAcentral's name for it is "partial 16S ribosomal RNA". It matches the Rfam family "Bacterial small subunit ribosomal RNA", at positions 28 to 507 of the family's 1533-position model. The record is from RNAcentral.
GAUGAACGCUGGCGGCGUGCCUAAUACAUGCAAGUCGAGCGAACAGACGAGGAGCUUGCUCCUCUGACGUUAGCGGCGGACGGGUGAGUAACACGUGGAUAACCUACCUAUAAGACUGGGAUAACUUCGGGAAACCGGAGCUAAUACCGGAUAAUAUAUUGAACCGCAUGGUUCAAUAGUGAAAGACGGUUUUGCUGUCACUUAUAGAUGGAUCCGCGCCGCAUUAGCUAGUUGGUAAGGUAACGGCUUACCAAGGCAACGAUGCGUAGCCGACCUGAGAGGGUGGACGGCCCCACGGGGAACGGGCAACCGGCCCGGCCCCCGAGGGGGGGCACAGGGAGGAAUUCUGCGAAAGGGGCCAAAAGCCGGCGGAGACAGCCCGGGGUGGGUGAGAAAGUUUUUGGGAUCUAAAAACUUUUUUAUGGGGAAAAAAAAAAGGUUUAAGUAACUAUGCACGUCUGGACGGUACCUAAUAAAAAACCCAGGCCUAACUCCGCG